GCAGUAACACAUAAGUUCCCGCUGGGGAUACGAGCGCAAGCUUAAACUCAAAGGAAUUGACGGGCCCCGCACAAGCACGGAGCGUGUGGUUUAAUUCGACGUAACACGAAGACCUUACCGGGGUUUGACAUGUACAUGAAAUCCUGUGAAAGCAGGACCCCCCGCAAGGGGCGUGUACACAGGUGUUGCAUGGCUGUCGUCAGCUCGUGCCGUGAGGUGUUGGGUUAAGUCCCGCAACGAGCGCAACCCUUAUCGCCAGUUGCUUUCUCUGGCGAGACUGCCGAGAAUAACUCGGAGGAAGGCGGGGAUGACGUCAAGUCAGCAUGGCCCUUACAUCCCGGGCUACACACACGCUACAAUGGGCGGUACAGAGGGUUGCUAAACCGCGAGGUGGAGCCAAUCCCACAAAACCGUCCUCAGUUCAGAUUGCAGUCUGCAACUCGACUGCAUGAAGGCGGAGUUGCUAGUAACCGCAGGUCAGCAUACUGCGGUGAAUACGUUCCCGGGGCUUGUACACACCGCCCGUCACGUCAUGAAAGCUGGUAACACCUGAAGCCGCUGGGCUAACCCGCAAGGGGGGCAGGCGUCGAGGGUGGGACUGGUGAUUGGGACGAAGUCGUAACAAGGUAACCGUA
Molecule: ribosomal RNA, 635 nt
Filed under: uncultured bacterium
Lineage: Bacteria
Description: bacterial SSU rRNA
Rfam family: Bacterial small subunit ribosomal RNA
Source: RNAcentral